Molecule: ribosomal RNA, 655 nt
Filed under: uncultured Methanotrichaceae archaeon
Lineage: Archaea; Methanobacteriati; Methanobacteriota; Methanomicrobia; Methanotrichales; Methanotrichaceae
Description: bacterial SSU rRNA
Rfam family: Archaeal small subunit ribosomal RNA
Source: RNAcentral
UCUUAGGCUCAGUAACACGUGGAUAACCUACCCUUGAGACGGGGAUAAACCCGGGAAACUGGGUAUAAUACCCAAUAGAUCUCGACUGCUGGAAUGCAUCGAGCUUGAAAGCUCCGGCGCUCAAGGAUGGAUCUGCGGCCUAUCAGGUAGUAGUGGGUGUAGCGUACCUACUAGCCUACGACGGGUACGGGUUGUGAGAGCAAGAGCCCGGAGAUGGAUUCUGAGACACGAAUCCAGGCCCUACGGGGUGCAGCAGGCGCGAAAACUUUACAAUGCUGGAAACAGCGAUAAGGGGACCUCGAGUGCCAGGUUACAAAUCUGGCUGUCGUGAUGCCUAAAAAGCAUUGCAUAGCAAGGGCCGGGCAAGACCGGUGCCAGCCGCCGCGGUAACACCGGCGGCUCGAGUGGUAACCGUUAUUAUUGGGUCUAAAGGGUCUGUAGCCGGCCGGAUGAGUCUCUUGGGAAAUCUGGCAGCUUAACUGUCAGGCUUUCAGGAGAUACUGUCUGGCUCGAGGCCGGGAGAGGUGAGAGGUACUUCAGGGGUAGGGGUGAAAUCUUGUAAUCCUUGAAGGACCACCAGUGGCGAAGGCGUCUCACCAGAACGGACCUGACGGCAAGGGACGAAAGCUAGAGGCACGAACCGGAUUAGAUACCC